AAAUUGAAGAGUUUGAUCAUGGCUCAGAUUGAACGCUGGCGGCAGGCCUAACACAUGCAAGUCGAACGGUAGCACAGAGAGCUUGCUCUCGGGUGACGAGUGGCGGACGGGUGAGUAAUGUCUGGGAAACUGCCUGAUGGAGGGGGAUAACUACUGGAAACGGUGGCUAAUACCGCAUAACGUCGCAAGACCAAAGAGGGGGACCUUCGGGCCUCUUGCCAUCAGAUGUGCCCAGAUGG
Molecule: ribosomal RNA, 239 nt
Filed under: Salmonella enterica subsp. enterica serovar Muenchen
Lineage: Bacteria; Pseudomonadati; Pseudomonadota; Gammaproteobacteria; Enterobacterales; Enterobacteriaceae
Also listed under: 3 other names
Description: partial 16S ribosomal RNA
Rfam family: Bacterial small subunit ribosomal RNA
Source: RNAcentral